Molecule: ribosomal RNA, 381 nt
Filed under: Triticum aestivum (bread wheat)
Lineage: Eukaryota; Viridiplantae; Streptophyta; Magnoliopsida; Poales; Poaceae
Description: partial small subunit ribosomal RNA
Source: RNAcentral
CUACACCGCCGGAACAUCCCAGUACUUUUCCUCAAGCUUGAUAUAUCGAAGGCUUUUGACUCCGUCAAUUGGGCUUUCCUUCUUAAGGUUCUUUAGCGCCCGGGGUUUGGCCAACGUUGGCUGGACUGGAUUUGCAUGACCCUGGCAUAUUCGUCAUCUAGGAUCCUACUGAAUGGAAACCCGGGCAAGCUGUUCAGGCACGGGCAGGGCCUGCGUCAGGGAGAUCCGGUGUCGCCGAUGCUUUUCAUUCUGGCAAUAGACCCGUUGCAGCAGAUUCUUCAUCUCGCCUCUGAGCAGGGCAUCCUCAAGCCCAUCCGCACUCGUUCCGCCAGAUGUAGAAUCUCUCUCUUUGCGGAUGAUGCAGGCAUCUUUGCCAACCCU